Molecule: ribosomal RNA, 253 nt
Filed under: uncultured bacterium
Lineage: Bacteria
Description: partial 16S ribosomal RNA
Rfam family: Bacterial small subunit ribosomal RNA
Source: RNAcentral
UACGAGGGGUGCUAGCGUUGUUCGGAUUUAUUGGGCGUAAAGGGUACGUAGACGGCGUAUUAAGUUAGUUGUAAAAUCUCUCGGCCUAACCGAGAACCUGCGAUUAAAACUGGUAUGCUAGAGGGUGAGAGAGAGGAGUGGAAUUCUCGGAGUAGCGGUAAAAUGCGUAGAUAUCGAGAGGAACACCGAUGGCGAAGGCAGCUCCUUGGCUCAUUCCUGACGUUGAGGUACGAAAGCGUGGGUAGCAAACAGG